UCAUGUGUGUGUCCGCUGGCGUUGAAUGGGAAUGGGCGAACAACACAUCAAAUCAGAGAUGGAAUUUCAUUUGUGUAGUAACUUUGGAACAGGUUGGUCGUGUUUGCCGGGCGAUAUUUAUGCUGUGUUAGACAAUUAUUCUUGCGGUUUUUUUUCUGAGUACUGUAUUGUUGUUGUUUGUGUUGUCUGUUUUUUUUUUUGUUUGGUGUCUCUCCACCGCUGAGUGUGGGGAGUCUGUGUUGAUCGAUCGAGAAAAAAUAACAAAGAAAACAAAAUUAAUAUCAAACGGCAGCAACAACAACAGAAAAAUCAAUUGCGCGAAAUCGAAUCGUAAUGAAAUAAGAAAACAAGUUUGGUUUGAUUUUUAUGUCUUGAAAAAAAAAAAAAGAAAAAAAAAUAAAUAAAAUAAAAUAAAUAAAUAAAAAUAAUAAAAGUGAGAAAUUUAAAGAAAAAUAAAGGAAAUAAAAAAAUAGAAAAUAAAAUAAAGAAAAAUUAUUGAAAAAAAAAUUAUAUUUUUAUAAAAAAAAGAAUAAUUAAGGAAAGUUUCCACCAAGCGCCGAUGCUGUAGAUCCCAACCACUUAUGAAAUUAUUUGAAUUGAAAGUUUUGGGGACCAUUGAAAAAUUAUUUCCAUAUUUGUCAUUCGUCAUUUUUUUGUUUUUGUUGUUUUGCGUGAGUGUUUAUUCGAUUGUCAUUCGGUUAUAUCAACGUAUUUUGCAACAACAACCAGAAAAUCGUAUCGAAACGCAUUUAACAAAAAUUUAUCAUUAUCAACAAUUGAAGAAAAAUAAAAAAAGAAAA
Long non-coding RNA from Musca domestica (house fly), 800 nucleotides. RefSeq lists it as uncharacterized. The transcript has 2 exons. NCBI's taxonomy places the organism in Eukaryota, Metazoa, Arthropoda, Insecta, Diptera, Muscidae. The record is from RefSeq and is a predicted model, not a curated record.